This 67-nucleotide transfer RNA is filed under the name Marmota monax (woodchuck). RNAcentral's name for it is "tRNA.Ala". Lineage: Eukaryota; Metazoa; Chordata; Mammalia; Rodentia; Sciuridae. The record is from RNAcentral.
GGCUGUGGCUCAGUGGUAGAGAGCUUGCCUAGCAUGUGUGAGGCACUGGGUUCGUUCCCCAGCACCA